AUAUUGAGCUGCAAAAUAAUUGUAUAAUGUUAUUCUCUGGUUUUAUUUUGAAGUCAGAUGCAAUUUUCCACACAUUUUAAAGUUUGGAGUUUUUUUUAACCUUUCAUCUUCAAACCUUACAUAACAAUAGAGGCUUUGAGAAGCAGACAAAUGCUAGAUACUUAAUUGCUUCUUUUGUUAUGAUGAAAUAUAUUUCUUUUUCCCCCAUUUCAUCAGUUAAUUAUACCAAAGUAGUUAAAUAUUGUUAAUAGAGUUUGCUUAUGGACAGUUACUGGGUGAACUUACUGGCACUACCUGGGUGAAAUUCCUGGAGGCUGAGAGAACUAGAUAGAACUGUGUAGCAGGUAAUCUAGUAAUCCAAAUCAAAGAUCAGUCUCAAUUUUUGUGUGUACGAAUUUAUUUGCUGACAUUCAAGGCAAAUGGUCCCACUCACUUCUAUCUGUCAUCUCAUUGGACUUUUCAGCCUUCUGAUUGUUCCUUUUGCUCUACUUUGGACAUUCAUUCAGAGAUUUGAUAUAGCCAAUGAUAACUUUUCUCAUUGCUGACAUCUCCUUCCCUUUUCUAACAGGAGUUGCUCAGUGACCCAUGCUCUUCAAGCAUGACAUUACAGUGACUUCCCUGUUAUUAUUUUGGGGGAAGAAGAAGAUGAGAGACAAAAACCACACUCUGCCACUGAAUUAACACCUGUCCAUUGAUGCAGCCACCAGCAACGAUAUUUGGAUCACUUGGACUGAACUGGAAGCAGUAAAUGUCUUCAAGACACUCCAAUAUUAACUAGAAAGAAGAAAAACAAG
This is a long non-coding RNA of Pseudopipra pipra, 794 nucleotides long. RefSeq lists it as uncharacterized. NCBI's taxonomy places the organism in Eukaryota, Metazoa, Chordata, Aves, Passeriformes, Pipridae. The record is from RefSeq and is a predicted model, not a curated record. The transcript is spliced from 3 exons.